GUACCAAAUUACAUAUAUCUGUCAAAAUGAUGUAGGACCUAAAGUGUCUCUGUAAGUUGAUCCUCUUGACCCCAUGAUUAGGAGCUUCACAAUGUGAUACCACACCUGGAAACCUCCAGAACAAGAUCUCAAGGAAACACAGGAAAUUCCUGAAACAGCAAAACCCCCUAUGUGAAGACGCCUGUUAUUCCUUUGUGCAUCAGGAGCAUCACUGUUAAUUAACUGUUGAUACACUUAAAAGAGCUUGGUUGGCAAUGUCCUUUUUGAAAAAAGAAGAGCCAGGUAUGUUAUUCAGGAUGAACUAGACAAUGCUGUCACAAGUUUACCUCUACGUCUUAUUGCCUUGGAAAAAUUGCCUGCAUAUUGUGGCACAAGAUGGUUGGCUCUCCAGGCAGCAGUUGGCAUUGUGAAUCAGUCUUCUCAGCAUGUAUCUACAAGAUCCCACGGCAGGGGAAAAAAGAGGUGGAGGGUCACAUGCCUGGUGUUACAUACUUCAAGGCAGAGGUGGUAGGUGCCAUUUCUGCUCACAGCUCAUGGACCAGAACAAAGCCAUGCAUACCUGCGAGAGGACCAGAAAAUAUUCUGAAGCACAUGGCUAUUUGGAAAAGAAGAGAUGGAAGGAAGCUGUUGCUUCAUUUUCUGUUCAUAGCAGGGAAGAGAGAAUAUCAGAGUUUGAUGGGAGCAGGCACAGCCAGAAGAAGAAGCAGAAAAAUUAUUUCAGCAUUUUGA
Molecule: long non-coding RNA, 729 nt
Filed under: Macaca mulatta (Rhesus monkey)
Lineage: Eukaryota; Metazoa; Chordata; Mammalia; Primates; Cercopithecidae
Description: lncRNA (ENSMMUG00000054853.1)
Source: RNAcentral